Molecule: non-coding RNA, 232 nt
Organism: Molossus molossus (Pallas's mastiff bat)
Lineage: Eukaryota; Metazoa; Chordata; Mammalia; Chiroptera; Molossidae
Product: small Cajal body-specific RNA 6
Exons: 1
Source: RefSeq, a predicted model, not a curated record
GGUCUAGGAAUCCGAUGUCAUCACUAAAAGCCAAUGACCCAGCUGCCUCAUGCCCAUCAGGCUUUAUUAAUGCUCUGAUGGCAGAAGGGCAGCGGACACUCGAUGUCCCAAGUCUGUGCUCCUUGGUGAGCCCAAGGAGGAUGCGUGGCUGGCAUCCCACAACAGUCUCAAAGGGACAUGGCUGCUGGAACUGUGGCAUCUGUGGUUUUUAUCUGACUUUCAAGCUGAGACC